Long non-coding RNA from Ctenocephalides felis (cat flea), 883 nucleotides. RefSeq lists it as uncharacterized. The transcript is spliced from 3 exons. Lineage: Eukaryota; Metazoa; Arthropoda; Insecta; Siphonaptera; Pulicidae. The record is from RefSeq and is a predicted model, not a curated record.
GCUUGUGUUUUUGCACAUAUUUAAUUGUGCCGACGCGUUGAAAAUGUUAUGGUAGUUAUUAAUGUAACCUUAUAAAAAUAUAUAUUGCAAAACGUAAUAUAUUAUAUAUUUAUGGUUAUUAAUAAAAAUUCAUUAUGAUGAAUAACACGGGAGAUCGUUUCGUACCUCAUGUACAUUUAGUUUCACGGUGCAAAAAGAAUGCGGGUUGCUUCUUUUAUAUUUAGAAGUUUAUAUUAGAUCUAAAAUAUUUAAGCAAAAAUUAUAGUUAAUUAUACACAUAAAAAUAAAUCAUGUUACCAUUAAUAUGUUUGGGACAGCAUGUAAAUUAAGUGCGUACGAAUGAAUUCUCAAACAAACAUUUGUAGCAUGUGUAUGUUAUUGUUAUUGCUUUAUUUUUCAAUUUGACGGAAUAAAUAAUUUAUGACAAGUGUGCAGUAAUUAAAUAGACAAAACUGUACUAUGUGUUCAAAACUUUGUGGUGAAGUGGAAUAAGUGGAGAGACCUUGAAUCUGUCUCUAGACUAAUUUAUGGGGCUUCUUGAUGAGUGUCCUUGCGAUCGGCGAAGGGUCCACGCUUGCGGCAGAUCAUUCUAAUUUGGAAGAAAAUAAAGUAUCAGAAUAUUUAUGGACAAUAAUUUUUAUUGUAAUAAGAAAUUCAGUAGCGAAGUAUCAUCAAUUUAUUGGAAACGUAUAAGGAAAUUUGACUUCGAGUGAAAAAAUAUUACCGGGCAUGUAUCCUUCAAAUGUGCAAGAAAUACCGGAUGCCUUUUUACAAGUUUCAUCUUCCUCGUCUGGUUCAGGAGCGCAUUCGUUUUUAACGCAGAAUGGAUUCUCUGGACUUUGUUCAGAACAUGUGAUUUCAAGCAUUGGUUCUGUUCCUUGGC